RNAcentral lists this ribosomal RNA (517 nucleotides) under uncultured bacterium. RNAcentral describes it as "bacterial SSU rRNA". It matches the Rfam family "Bacterial small subunit ribosomal RNA", at positions 375 to 883 of the family's 1533-position model. The record is from RNAcentral.
GGGGAACCCUGAUCCAGCCAUGCCGCGUGUGUGAAGAAGGCCUUUUGGUUGUAAAGCACUUUAAGCGAGGAGGAGGCUACUCUAGUUAAUACCUAGGGAUAGUGGACGUUACUCGCAGAAUAAGCACCGGCUAACUCUGUGCCAGCAGCCGCGGUAAUACAGAGGGUGCGAGCGUUAAUCGGAUUUACUGGGCGUAAAGCGUGCGUAGGCGGCUUUUUAAGUCGGAUGUGAAAUCCCUGAGCUUAACUUAGGAAUUGCAUUCGAUACUGGGAAGCUAGAGUAUGGGAGAGGAUGGUAGAAUUCCAGGUGUAGCGGUGAAAUGCGUAGAGAUCUGGAGGAAUACCGAUGGCGAAGGCAGCCAUCUGGCCUAAUACUGACGCUGAGGUACGAAAGCAUGGGGAGCAAACAGGAUUAGAUACCCUGGUAGUCCAUGCCGUAAACGAUGUCUACUAGCCGUUGGGGCCUUUGAGGCUUUAGUGGCGCAGCUAACGCGAUAAGUAGACCGCCUGGGGAGUAC